GAUGAACGCUGGCGGCGUGCCUAAUACAUGCAAGUCGAGCGAACAGACGAGGAGCUUGCUCCUCUGACGUUAGCGGCGGACGGGUGAGUAACACGUGGAUAACCUACCUAUAAGACUGGGAUAACUUCGGGAAACCGGAGCUAAUACCGGAUAAUAUAUUGAACCGCAUGGUUCAAUAGUGAAAGACGGUUUUGCUGUCACUUAUAGAUGGAUCCGCGCCGCAUUAGCUAGUUGGUAAGGUAACGGCUUACCAAGGCGAUGAUGCGUAGCCGACCUGAGAGGGUGAUCGGCCACACUGGAACUGAGACACGGUCCAGACUCCUACGGGAGGCAGCAGUAGGGAAUCUGAGGCAAUGGGGGAAAGCCUGACGGGGCAACGCCGCGUGAGUGAUGAAGGUCUUCGGAUCGUAAAACUCUGUUAUUAGGGAAGAACAAAUGUGUAAGUAACUAUGCACGUCUUGACGGUACCUAAUCAGAAAGCCACGGCUAACUACGUG
This 497-nucleotide ribosomal RNA is filed under the name uncultured bacterium. RNAcentral describes it as "partial 16S ribosomal RNA". It matches the Rfam family "Bacterial small subunit ribosomal RNA", at positions 28 to 507 of the family's 1533-position model. The record is from RNAcentral.